UCUGGCGGUAAUAGCGCGGUGGUCCCACCUGACCCCAUGCCGAACUCAGAAGUGAAACGCCGUAGUGCCGAU
Molecule: ribosomal RNA, 72 nt
Filed under: Gilliamella sp. wkB171
Lineage: Bacteria; Pseudomonadati; Pseudomonadota; Gammaproteobacteria; Orbales; Orbaceae
Source: RNAcentral